CCCCACUGGACAGGAGGCAGAGUAUGCUCCCCAGAGGGGAGGAACAUGAUGAUGAUGAUGAUGGAGAUGCCCCCUUGAAGGGGGCUGGAAGGCUAUGUGGAAGAAGCGGUCCUUCAUCUCUUCUUCCCUGUGAUGGAGAGGAACUGGAUCAGGAGGAAUGGGCACUGCUGGAUCCAGACCAGAGAUCCCUGUACAGGGAAGUCAUGGCGGAGAAUAAUCAGAUCAUGGCCUAUUUUGGUAAGUCCCCUUCUCUCCAUGGUUUACACUAAGUGUAGUAACAGUACUGUGAACCACAACCAUUCUCAUGGGAAGUUGGGGGUGCCUUAGAGCAGAGCUGGAAGAUUCUUGUGGGCUCAAAGAAGGGCUGAAUUCUG
This 374-nucleotide long non-coding RNA is filed under the name Pogona vitticeps (central bearded dragon). RNAcentral describes it as "lncRNA (ENSPVIG00000003988.1)". Lineage: Eukaryota; Metazoa; Chordata; Lepidosauria; Squamata; Agamidae. The record is from RNAcentral.